ACUCCUACGGGAGGCAGCAGUGGGAAUCUUAGACAAUGGGCGCAAGCCUGAUCUAGCCAUGCCGCGUGUGUGACGAAGGUCUUAGGAUCGUAAAGCACUUUCGCCGGGAAGAUAAUGACGGUACCCGGUAAAGAAACCCGCGACAUCCGUGCCAGCAGCCGCGGUAAUACGGAGGGGUUAGCGUUGUUCGGAAUUACUGGGCGUAAAGCGCGCGUAGGCGGACUGG
RNAcentral lists this ribosomal RNA (226 nucleotides) under uncultured bacterium. Its description in RNAcentral is "partial 16S ribosomal RNA". It matches the Rfam family "Bacterial small subunit ribosomal RNA", at positions 335 to 583 of the family's 1533-position model. The record is from RNAcentral.